Molecule: long non-coding RNA, 2468 nt
Filed under: Marmota monax (woodchuck)
Lineage: Eukaryota; Metazoa; Chordata; Mammalia; Rodentia; Sciuridae
Source: RNAcentral
CAAUACUAGUAUUGCAAGCUGCUGAGCAUUUUCAUCCUUCUUGAGGUAUUAUAAGUUCACUCUUUAUGGCUUCUUUACUCAUGAGACUCCCCAACACAAUAGGCAUCCAUUCUAGACCCACAGCGGAAUAAACAAUACAGUCAGGGAAUAAAGGCUGCUAAAUAUGUUUCACACUAGCUGCUUUAUUUCCUUUAAAAUAUUCUAAACUCCUUUUAAGUGUUAAUUGUGUAUGCACAAGAGCCCUCAGUAGAACAGCAUACUUUGGCAGAUUUGUGGAUCCUGUUAUGUCAAUGACUUCCAUUUUAAGGUCAGAACUGCUUCCUGUUGGAAAAAUAUUUGGGCUAAUUCUAAUAAAAUUAAAGUUGGCAGCAGACCAUUAAAAAUUGUCAAGUUAAUGUGAAAAUAACUUUUCUAGGAAAAUUAUGGUAAAACUUUACAUAUUGCCAAUAUAGAAAAAAAGUUGAACAUACAGAAUAGUCAGAAAUGAGUUGGUAUGCAUAAGCUAAAGGUUAUUUCAACCAGCUAAAGGUUAACUGCAUAAAAAUGGGAAAUCUGUAGAAGGUUUUUGUUGUUGUUGUUGUUUUUCCCUUUCCAACAGUGGUAUCUUUAGCUAGAGUCUGCGUGAUUUUUAUUCUUUAUAUACUCUUUUAUAAUGGAAUAAUGAAAUAUCUGUCUUACUGUAUUUCUAGCAAGUAUAGGUAGUCUGUGGGCCCAUAAAUCAGAUAGUCUUGAAUUUUGAAUUGAAGAAUUAUUUUGCAGAAUGCUUUGUAGUAUGAAUUUGAUGCAGUCAUAUUCCUAAUCACCUUUUUAAUAGAUGAACCAUCAAGACAUUCCUCUCAUUUUUUUGUUUCUAACUUAGCUUGGCCUAAGUUGUAACUUUUAUUUCAGUUAUUUUAAAAAUUAUUUUUGUUCCAGUUACAAAGGCCCUGUGUAUACUUUAUAAGCAAGCUACCCAAGGUAACUGUUAUUAACUUAUGUAUAUUCAUACACAUAAACAAAAUGUAUAUAUAAACAUAUAUUUGUAAACAUCUGUAUGUGGACACCAUGAUAUAUUCAUUUAUUUUUUACAAAUUGAUUUUUACAUCUAGAUUCACAGAAAUACUGUUCUGCCACUUAAUUUCUUCUUUAAUGGGCCCAUGGUAUUUUAAGGACAUUCUAUAGUAUAUUUAACCAGUUUCUGCUAUUCUUAGGUUAUAACAUGAACAUCAUUGCCUGGUGGAGUAUUUCGGUAGAAUGUACUCCUAGCAGUAACAUUAUGGAAAUAUAAGAGUAUACACAUUAAAUAUUGCCAGGCUGUGUAGAGGGGACCUGAGAAACAGUUUAGUUUUAUUCCCAGUCUUCAUUUGUUACAUGAUAUGCUGAGGCCUUAUUGCACUAAUAUAAUGCUCCAUCAGACAAGUAGGUGUUCCUGUCAACUAGUCAAUGCAAAUAUUCCCUCUUUUAAGUUGUCUUUCAACUGCUAUGGACUAUAGUCAUAACAAAUGCUAACCGGUGGAAUUGGGAGUUUUCCCUCCCCAAGAAAAGCAACUAGUAUUGAUAAUUUAAGAAGAACAAGCAAUCUCUGAUAUAAGGAUUUAUAUGAAAGAGUAUUGCUUCCUGAUCUUUCAAGCUUACAUAUAUGUGUGUGUUCUGUUCUCUAAAUUCUCCAACCCUGCACCCACAAACUCUCUCAGGCUUUGUAGACUGAAUAUUACUUUAUAAGUUUAGAUCCAGUGGGAUCAAACAAGUUUAGAAACCCAGUAUCGGUUGCAGUUUCACAGAAAACUUGUUUUAUUCCUGAUCAAGGAUGCCUGUAUUAAAACACAUUACCUCAGUAAGAAAAAUGGCAUUCUUAAACAUACCCAGAAUAUUCUGUUUGAUUUAGGAUAAUGUUUUUUAACCCUGACUUCAUAUUAGGAUCCACUUGGAAGUCUUUCAAAAACACAGAUGCUCACCACUAUGCCCUGGUAGUGGGAAUUGGUUUGUCUGAGGCAUAGCUGGGGCAUAUUAUUAUGCUAAAUAAAAGUUGGCCAAGUAUAGGAAACUGUCUUUAAAUGAUUGUGGUGUAGUUUGUUUAAUUUUUUUAAACUUUUAAGGAAGGCAAAGAAAGGUAUGGGAAAUUGCCAUCGAACUAUGUUCCUUAGAAAGUGGGAAAGUGAUCGUUUAAUAAUGAUUGAUAAUCUUUUCAUUUUGGGGCUAGAUAGUAAAUAUUUUAGGUUCUUUGAGCCAUACACAGUCUCUAGAGCUUAAUCUUUGUUUUCCUUUUUGUCAGCCCUUUAAAAAUGUAAGUCUUUCUUAGUUAGAGGGCUAUCCAAAAAUGGGUGGUGGGCCAGAUUUGACCCAUGGGCCAUGAUUUGCCAACCCCUAAUCUGAGCAUUUAUCACUUCUUUUCCCCAUGAAACAGGUGUUUGAUGAUAAAAGUAUCUAAUUUUUUUGUUUGUUUUGUCAUAGUUAAUUCAUCUGCUUACACUAUUUACAUGGGAAAGGAU